UCUCCGUAGGUGAACCUGCGGAGGGAUCAUUACACAAUAACCAGGCGGGCUGGACACCCCCCGCUGGGCACUGCUUCACGGCGUGCGCGGCGGGGCCGGCCCUGCUGAAUUAUUCACCCGUGUCUUUUGCGUACUUCUUGUUUCCUGGGUGGGCUCGCCCGCCCUCAGGACCAACCACAAACCUUUUGCAAUAGCAAUCAGCGUCAGUAACAACGUAAUUAAUUACAACUUUCAACAACGGAUCUCUUGGUUCUGGCAUCGAUGAAGAACGCAGCGAAAUGCGAUACGUAGUGUGAAUUGCAGAAUUCAGUGAAUCAUCGAAUCUUUGAACGCACAUUGCGCCCUUUGGUAUUCCAAAGGGCAUGCCUGUUCGAGCGUCAUUUGUACCCUCAAGCUUUGCUUGGUGUUGGGCGUCUUUUGUCUCCAGUUCGCUGGAGACUCGCCUUAAAGUCAUUGGCAGCCGGCCUACUGGUUUCGGAGCGCAGCACAAGUCGCGCUCUUUGCCAGCCAAGGUCAGCGUCCAGCAAGCCUUUUUUUCAACCUUUGACCUCGGAUCAGGUAGGGAUACCCGCUGAACUUA
This 580-nucleotide ribosomal RNA is filed under the name uncultured fungus. RNAcentral describes it as "eukaryotic LSU rRNA". The stretch from base 227 to 380 matches the Rfam family "5.8S ribosomal RNA". Lineage: Eukaryota; Fungi. The record is from RNAcentral.